This 253-nucleotide ribosomal RNA is filed under the name uncultured bacterium. RNAcentral describes it as "partial 16S ribosomal RNA". It matches the Rfam family "Bacterial small subunit ribosomal RNA", at positions 524 to 776 of the family's 1533-position model. The record is from RNAcentral.
UACGGAGGGUGCAAACGUUGUUCGGAAUCAUUGGGCGUAAAGCGCGCGUAGGCGGCCGUUAAGGUCGGGUGUGAAAGCCCAGGGCUCAACCCUGGAACUGCGCCCGAAACCGCACGGCUCGAGUCCCGGAGGGAGAAGUGGAAUUCCAGGUGUAGGGGUGAAAUCCGUAGAUAUCUGGAGGAACACCGGUGGCGAAGGCGACUUCUUGGCCGAGGACUGACGCUGAGGUGCGAAAGCGUGGGGAGCAAACAGG